This 253-nucleotide ribosomal RNA is filed under the name uncultured bacterium. Its description in RNAcentral is "partial 16S ribosomal RNA". It matches the Rfam family "Bacterial small subunit ribosomal RNA", at positions 524 to 776 of the family's 1533-position model. The record is from RNAcentral.
UACGUAGGGCGCAAGCGUUAAUCGGAAUUACUGGGCGUAAAGCGUGCGCAGGCGGUUUUGUAAGUCUGUCGUGAAAGCCCCGGGCUCAACCUGGGAAUUGCGUUGGAGACUGCAAGGCUAGAAUCUGGCAGAGGGGGGUAGAAUUCCACGUGUAGCAGUGAAAUGCGUAGAGAUGUGGAGGAACACCGAUGGCGAAGGCAGCCCCCUGGGUCAAGAUUGACGCUCAUGCACGAAAGCGUGGGGAGCAAACAGG